This 358-nucleotide long non-coding RNA is filed under the name Androctonus crassicauda. The record is from RNAcentral. Lineage: Eukaryota; Metazoa; Arthropoda; Arachnida; Scorpiones; Buthidae.
GACAAAGACAAAAAAAAAAAAAAGAAAAAACAGGAAAAUACCGGAUUCCCUUUCAGAAUGCAGACAAAGGCAGAGAAGAAGUAUACAUCGGAGCGACUGCUAGAUGCCUAAAGGAUAGGUUGAAAGAGCUACAAAAGGGACAUAAAAUAUGCUACCAUGAAGACGGUGCUCGCCAAAAGUGUGUAUGAGAACAAUUUAGACAUAAAAUGGGAUGAAUCUAAAAUAAUUAAACAGGUAUCGAACCGAGAUGAGUUACCUAUGGCAGAAACACUUCAAGUUUAUACAACUAGACAACGAAUAGCAGUUGUAAAUGACAGGCAACUGGACUCUAUGCAAAAACCAUGGGAAUAUCUUUUAA